This 445-nucleotide ribosomal RNA is filed under the name uncultured bacterium. RNAcentral describes it as "partial 16S ribosomal RNA". It matches the Rfam family "Bacterial small subunit ribosomal RNA", at positions 354 to 796 of the family's 1533-position model. The record is from RNAcentral.
GUGAGGAAUAUUGGUCAAUGGGCGGGAGCCUGAACCAGCCAAGUCGCGUGAAGGAAGAAGGAACUAUGGUUCGUAAACUUCUUUUGCAGGGGAAUAAAGUGCAGGACGUGUCCUGUUUUGUAUGUACCCUGAGAAUAAGGAUCGGCUAACUCCGUGCCAGCAGCCGCGGUAAUACGGAGGAUCCGAGCGUGAUCAGGAUUUAUGGGGUUUAAAGGGUGCGUAGGUGGUGUGAUAAGUCAGCGGUGAAAGUUUGCAGCUUAACUGUAAAAAUGCCGUUGAAACUGUCGGACUUGAGUGUAAAUGAGGUAGGCGGAAUGUGUGGUGUAGCGGUGAAAUGCAUAGAUAUCACGCAGAACUCCGAUUGCGAAGGCAGCUUACUAAGCUACAACUGACACUGAAGCACGAAAGCGUGGGGAUCAAACAGGAUUAGAUACCCUGGUAGUCC